Molecule: non-coding RNA, 2749 nt
Organism: Pelodiscus sinensis (Chinese soft-shelled turtle)
Lineage: Eukaryota; Metazoa; Chordata; Testudines; Trionychidae
Source: RefSeq, a predicted model, not a curated record
ACCAACCCCGUCCGUUCGCCAUGUGGGGCUCCGCCCUCCGGCCCUCUGGGGCUCCCAUAACCCCCCUGGCCUUUUCCCGGCCUCCAGGCCCUGGGAGGGUUGACCUUUGACCUAGUGUGGGCCUGGGCAGAUUGUCUGACCUCUUGACCCCCUUUCACGACUGCUGACCUUUGACCUCUCGUCACUUGCGUUUGACCUCUGACCCCACGCGGCCUGUUUCCGCCUCGGGCGCCCAGCCAUUUGAGGUUGACCUUUGACCUCUCGGGCAUUGGCCUUCGACCCUGUAGGCUUGACUUUGAACCUCGGCCGCGGCCAAGGGGCCCACCCCUGGGUCUCCGGGCCGGCUGCGAACUUUGGCCUCCCCGUCUGCUCGGUCUGGUUCAGGGCUGAGCCGCUUGCCUGUCCCUGCGGGAACGACUCACAAUCCUGCAGUCAGGGUGUGACUCCGGAUUGACUCUGGAUUGACCCUGUGGCCUGAGAACUGAAUCCAGGCCUGUCCUCAUUGCAGUGAGGGCGUGACUCCACAUUGACCCUGGCCGGCUGGGAUCACAAUCUAGCUCUACCCCCUUGCAGUCAGGAGUGACUCUGGAUUGACUCCAGAUUAACUCCAGUGGGCUGAGAGAAUCCAGCUUUGUUCCCAUUGUGGUUGGGAGUGACUCUGGAUUGACUCUGGAUUAACUCCAGCAGGCUGAGAGAAUUCAGCUUUGUUCCCAUUGUGGUUGGGAGUGACUCUGGAUUGACUCUGGAUUAACUCCAGCAGGCUGAGAGAAUCCAGCUUUGUUCCCAUUGUGGUUGGGAGUGACUCUGGAUUGACUCUGGAUUAACUCCAGCAGGCUGAGAGAAUCCAGCUUUGUUCCCAUUGCAGUCGAGGGUGACUCUGGAUCGAUUGCGGAUUGAGUCAAGCAGGCUGAGAGAAUCCAGCUUUGUUCCCAUUGCAGUCAGGGUGACUCUGGAUUGACUCCAGCGGGCUGGGAGAAUCCAGCUUUGUCCCUGUUGCGGUCUGGAUUGACUCUGGAUUAACUCCAGCAGGCUGAGAGAAUCCAGCUUUGUUCCCAUUGCAGUCGGGGUGACUCCGGAUUGGCCCACAGGGAUGAGACCUGACUCAGUGACUGCUUUUAAACCCCUUGCGUCUCUGGAACAGACCACGAUGCCUCCAUCCCCCUUCCCGAAUUCCCCUCCCCCAUCACAAUGUACACAUUUUUCUAUGCAGAAGCAUAAGCCUUAAUUCCCAGCGCCCGCUACGCCCCCUGCAGGACAGCGAUGGAGCCACAGAAACCAGCCUGCCCCCCCCAAACAUCUGGACAGCCCUCCAUGCUUCUGUGGGCCUUCCGCCCCCCCAUCCUUGGUGGUGCCCUGGAGCCAACAAACCUUUGACACCGACGACGCUCGCGCCCGCCUCUCCGGAGCCGCUUUCUGGAGCUUGCUCUGCCCCCGCCCGCCCCGUCUGGACUUGGGGCCUUACCCACCUGUGUGCACUGGGGUUGCCGCUUCGGGGGCAGGGGGAGGGGGAUCCUGCCCUCCCCCAAGUUUCACUCAUCAGGGAUUUUGAGCCUCCAGCGGUGGAGUCGGACGGGGCCGUGCUGAUCCCGAUUGGUGGCGAGCGUGCACGUGCAGGAGGGCAGGUGUACACGGGGCCGUGCGAAGCAGCCAGGGGGCCAAUGGGCCGUGCAAGAUGGAGGCGUGUGCAAAGUGUGUGGCUUGCACUGACCUGCCUGGUGGUGGGUGUGUAAAAUGUACGUGACUUGGUGUGUGGGGGGGGCUGAUGCUGCUCCCUCCCCGUGGGAGUCAGGCACAAGCCUGCGUGCCAUUUGCACAGAUCCUUUGUGCGGCGGGUGUGCAAAAGGGUUGGCACUAAUUGCCCCCAAAGGGGCGGGCAUGGAACAAGUGUGAUUUGCAUGGAGCUAGUGACCAAAAUGGGAGGGGGAAUUGGCACAGAUCUCCCCGGCAGCAGGUGUGCACAAUGACUGUGUCCUGGCCUCCUCUGCUGUGCAGCCAGCGAGCUCAGUUAUUGGGGCUGGCGUGCAAAACGUGCACCAAUUUCCCCUGCGGUGGGUGAGCAACACAAGUGUGCAUUGCACGGAUCCACCGUGGACUGGGAACUUGUGCUGAAUUCUCAGGCGGUUGUUGUUACAAAAUGGGCGUCAUUUGCACUAAUUUGUGGAGUCAUCAGUUUGCAAAGAAGGGGAGGGGGAUGGUGCAUAUCCCGCCCUCCCCCGUCGCAGGUGUCCUGGGCAAGUGUGCAUUGCACGAAUCAGCAGUGGUGCAAAUGGCUCCGGCUUUCCGUGUGGAUGGAUGGGAACGCAAAGUGGGGGUGAGUCGCACGAGAGGGAUGUGUGCCUGAUGUGCUGAAGCUGUGUGGCUUACCCUUGAUAACGGGGGAGCCGAGCAAAAUGAGUGGUGCUGGUGCAAAUUGAGUGUGCAGCAGGGGAAGGGGGAUUUGCACGGAUUUCUCCAGUGGUGGGUGUGUAAGGUGAGUGUGCCCCGAUGCCCUAUGCUGACAGGUCUCCCAGCGUGUGUGCCCCGUGGGUUUUCUGACCUGGGCACGAGUACACAGGGAGGGGGGAAGAGGGAAUGCACAGAGAGCUGGCCAUGCGUGCACCCCACAGAGCUCCGUCCUCCCCAUCUCAUAGCCUGCCCCCUGUAAAUACAGCCCCAGGGUCCUGCGACCGGCUGCUCGAUGAGCUGUAUGGAGGGAAGCCAGCUCUGUCUGGCAGAGAACCAGAUGGAAUAAAAAGGAUCAUGCAACCCG